RNAcentral lists this unclassified non-coding RNA (395 nucleotides) under soil metagenome. RNAcentral describes it as "partial contains 5.8S ribosomal RNA, internal transcribed spacer 2, and large subunit ribosomal RNA". The stretch from base 1 to 122 matches the Rfam family "5.8S ribosomal RNA", at positions 35 to 154 of the family's 154-position model. The record is from RNAcentral.
GAUGAAGAUCGUAGCGAAAUGCGAUACUUGGUGUGAAUUGCAGAAUCCCGUGAACCAUCGAGUCUUUGAACGCAAGUUGCGCCCGAAGCCAUCAGGUUGAGGGCACGUCUGCCUGGGCGUCACAUAUCGUUGCCCAAUGCCUAUUGCAGUGCAAUAGGAAUUUCUAGGGCGAAUGAUGGCUUCCCGUGAGCGUUGUUGCCUCGCGGUUGGUUGAAAAUCGAGUCCUUGGUAGGGUGUGCCAUGGUAGAUGGUGGUCGAGUUAGAACGAUACCGAUCAUGUGCAUGCUCCCCAAAAUAUGGCCUCUAUGACCCACACGCGUCUUUUGACGCUCAUGACGAGACCUCAGGUCAGGCGGGGCUACCCGCUGAAUUUAAGCAUAUCAAUAAGCGGAGGA